UUGAGGUCCAGCGUGCUGGCAUCAGGCGCCAGGAACCUUCAGUGCUGGGGAUGGCCUGCCGGGGGCCUCGUGGGUCUUUUCUCAGCUCCACGGUGGCAGAUUUACCCAGCAAAGGUGUCCUAGGCUGAAAUCAGAGCAGGAUGAAGAAGGAGGCAGAGGCAGGGAGGUGUCAGAGGAAGAAUUUCCCAAUGGUCAGAUGUGGAAUG
Molecule: long non-coding RNA, 206 nt
Filed under: Homo sapiens (human)
Lineage: Eukaryota; Metazoa; Chordata; Mammalia; Primates; Hominidae
Description: HSALNT0269471
Source: RNAcentral